GACGAACGCUGGCGGCGUGCCUAAUACAUGCAAGUCGAACGCUUCUUUCCUCCCGAGUGCUUGCACUCAAUUGGAAAGAGGAGUGGCGGACGGGUGAGUAACACGUGGGUAACCUGCCCAAAAGAAGGGGAUAACAUUUGGAAACAAGUGCUAAUACCGUAUAACCAUGAUGACCGCAUGGUCAUGAUGUAAAAGGUGGUUUUGCUAUCGCUUUUGGAUGGACCCGCGGCGUAUUAACUAGUUGGUAAGGUAACGGCUUACCAAGGUGAUGAUACGUAGCCGAACUGAGAGGUUGAUCGGCCACAAUGGGACUGAGACACGGCCCAUACUCCUACGGGAGGCAGCAGUAGGGAAUCUUCCACAAUGGGCGCAAGCCUGAUGGAGCAACGCCGCGUGAAUGAAGAAGGUCUUCGGAUCGUAAAGUUCUGUUAUUAGAGAAGAACACGUGUAAGAGUAACUGAUUAUGCGUUGACGGUAUCUAAUCAGCAAGUCACGGCUAACUACGUGCCAGCCGCCGCAGUAACAC
This 526-nucleotide ribosomal RNA is filed under the name uncultured bacterium. Its description in RNAcentral is "bacterial SSU rRNA". It matches the Rfam family "Bacterial small subunit ribosomal RNA", at positions 28 to 526 of the family's 1533-position model. The record is from RNAcentral.